This is a long non-coding RNA of Ornithorhynchus anatinus (platypus), 377 nucleotides long. RefSeq lists it as uncharacterized. The record is from RefSeq and is a predicted model, not a curated record. The transcript is spliced from 2 exons. NCBI's taxonomy places the organism in Eukaryota, Metazoa, Chordata, Mammalia, Monotremata, Ornithorhynchidae.
GCCAUCCGGUUGAGGUGAUUUACUAUUCCGCUUGAGUUUUUCAAGUUGCUCCAGAACUUCCUCCUCAGAGAUUUCAAUUUGUGUUAAGGCCACACCAGGGUUUCCUGUGUAAAGUGCCUUUGGAAUAGGAAUUUCCCCCAUCAUUCUCAAAGAGGAGGGAAAUGUGGCCUGAAAACUGUGAGAAGAAAUGGUUCAAGACAAAAUACAGGAAGAGGAAAGACCUCUGCCGUUGAUAAGUUCUCCUGACUUUCAGGUCCCAAUCUCCUGGGGUCAAUCAGUUGAUCUGUUUUAUGAAUGGGCUGGUAAGUAUGUAUGUAUAUGUGUACAGGCACGAGCUGUGGAAUUGGAAGAUGAAAUAAAACUUGAAUGAGGAAGAG